This 497-nucleotide ribosomal RNA is filed under the name uncultured bacterium. Its description in RNAcentral is "partial 16S ribosomal RNA". It matches the Rfam family "Bacterial small subunit ribosomal RNA", at positions 28 to 507 of the family's 1533-position model. The record is from RNAcentral.
GAUGAACGCUGGCGGCGUGCCUAAUACAUGCAAGUCGAGCGAACAGACGAGGAGCUUGCGCCUUCGACGUUAGCGGCGGACGGGUGAGUAACACGUAGGUAACCUACCUAUAAGACUGGGAUAACUUCGGGAAACCGGAGCUAAUACCGGAUAAUAUUUCGAACCGCAUGGUUCGAUAGUGAAAGAUGGCUUUGCUAUCACUUAUAGAUGGACCUGCGCCGUAUUAGCUAGUUGGUAAGGUAACGGCUUACCAAGGCAACGAUACGUAGCCGACCUGAGAGGGUGAUCGGCCACACUGGAACUGAGACACGGUCCAGACUCCUACGGGAGGCAGCAGUAGGGAAUCUUCCGCAAUGGGCGAAAGCCUGACGGAGCAACGCCGCGUGAGUGAUGAAGGUCUUCGGAUCGUAAAACUCUGUUAUUAGGGAAGAACAAACGUGUAAGUAACUGUGCACGUCUUGACGGUACCUAAUCAGAAAGCCACGGCUAACUACGUG